Molecule: non-coding RNA, 447 nt
Organism: Triticum urartu
Lineage: Eukaryota; Viridiplantae; Streptophyta; Magnoliopsida; Poales; Poaceae
Source: Rfam
CAUGGCAUCUUCUGUAAAGAAGUCUGUAAAGAAGAACGAGUAAAGACGUUGACGUUGAAUACCGCUUCCUUGCCGAACCUUAAUUAGUGCCUCAUGCAGUAAUGUCUCUGGUUUUUCUGUACGACAGCCUUCGGGCUAAAUAAACAUCUAAAGGAAUUUGCAAAAUGGCAAAGAUUAAAGGUCAGGUUAAGUGGUUCAACGAGUCUAAAGGUUUUGGUUUUAUCACCCCUGCUGACGGUAGCAAAGAUGUGUUCGUUCACUUCUCCGCUAUUCAGGGCAAUGGUUUCAAAACCCUGGCUGAAGGCCAGAGCGUUGAGUUCGAAAUUCAGGACGGCCAGAAAGGCCCGGCAGCCGUUAAAGUUACGGUUAACUCAUUUCACUCCGCCUCGGUGCAUUGCACCCUGACAUGAAAUCUCAAAGCCCUGGCUUCUCAGCCGGGGCUUUCUU